Molecule: ribosomal RNA, 229 nt
Filed under: uncultured bacterium
Lineage: Bacteria
Description: partial 16S ribosomal RNA
Rfam family: Bacterial small subunit ribosomal RNA
Source: RNAcentral
UGCGUAGGCGGUUUGAUAAGUCAGAGGUGAAAGCCCGCAGCUUAACCGUGGAAUUGCCUUUGAUACUGUUGGACUUGAAUCAGGUUGAGGUUGGCGGAAUGUGGCAUGUAGCGGUGAAAUGCAUAGAUAUGCCAUAGAACACCAAUUGCGAAGGCAGCUGACUAGACCUGUAUUGACGCUGAGGCACGAAAGCGUGGGGAGCGAACAGGAUUAGAUACCCUGGUAGUCC